UUCACAGAGUACCUUCAAGUUCAAGUCUGAGAGUGACAUUCACUUGGCAGAGCAUCACAAGCAGGUUCUGUAUGACGGGAAGCUUGCGAGUAGCAUUGCCUUUUCCUACAAUGCCAAGGCCACCGAUGCUCAGCUUUGCCUGGAGUCCUCACCGAAGGAAAAUGCAUCCAUAUUUGUGCAUUCGCCUCACGCAUUGAUGCUCCAGGAUGUGAAAGCUAUAGUAACACAUUCAAUUCAUAGUGCAAUCCAUUCAAUCGGAGGGAUUCAAGUACUUUUCCCACUUUUUGCCCAGCUGGACAAUCGACAGCUUAAUGACAGUCAAGUAGAAACAACUGUCUGUGCUACUCUUUUGGCAUUCCUCGUUGAACUACUUAAAAGUUCAGUAGCCAUGCAAGAACAGAUGCUGGGUGGAAAAGGCUUU
This 421-nucleotide long non-coding RNA is filed under the name Rattus norvegicus (Norway rat). RNAcentral's name for it is "long non-coding RNA NONRATT016411". The record is from RNAcentral. Lineage: Eukaryota; Metazoa; Chordata; Mammalia; Rodentia; Muridae.